This 637-nucleotide long non-coding RNA is filed under the name Chinchilla lanigera (long-tailed chinchilla). RNAcentral describes it as "lncRNA (ENSCLAG00000027607.1)". Lineage: Eukaryota; Metazoa; Chordata; Mammalia; Rodentia; Chinchillidae. The record is from RNAcentral.
UGAAUCCAGCACCUUAUACUGAGCUACAUCCCCAGCCCCAUUUUUUAAGAGGCAGAAUCUUACUAAAUCUCUAAGUUGUCCUGGUUGGGCUUGAACUUGUGAUCCUCAUCUUCAUGCCCCUGCAGUAUGCUGAAAUUAUAGGGAUGCACCAUCAUGCCCAGCUCUAAAUAGCUCACCUAAAAGAGACAAAUCACUAGGCAUGGUGAUACAUACCUGUAAUCCCAGUCUUUGGGAGACUGAGUCAGGAGGGUUGCAAGUAUGAGUCCCACCUUAGCCAUUUAGUGAGACCCUGUCCCAAAAUAAAAAAGGGCUGGGGCUGCAGCUCAGUGAGAAGGCCCUGGGUUCAACUUCCACUUAUACAAUUAAAAUAAAAUAAGCAACUCUACUUUACUUUCCUGAGACACACAAAACGCUGCUCUAAAGCAGAACCCAACCCAGAGCUGGUGCUGCUCAGAAGUGUUCAUCUCGGCUCCCACCUGAGAAGUCUUAUAACAAAACAAGGCUUCCAGCAUUUUUAGACAUUCAUGUGUUCUUCUCGAAGUGCCACAUGGAGCUCCAUGGGAAAACAGGAAAUCAUCUGCAUGUGAAAGGCAACAGGUUCGGAGAGUGCUGCCUGUCCAUAUUAAUGAAAUUGCGA